This 233-nucleotide ribosomal RNA is filed under the name uncultured bacterium. RNAcentral's name for it is "partial 16S ribosomal RNA". It matches the Rfam family "Bacterial small subunit ribosomal RNA", at positions 333 to 577 of the family's 1533-position model. The record is from RNAcentral.
AAUGUCCUACGGGGCGCAGCAGUCGAGAAUCAUUCACAAUGGGGGAAACCCUGAUGGUGCGACGCCGCGUGGGGGAAUGAAGGUCUACGGAUUGUAAACCCCUGUCAUGUGGGAGCAAAGUAAAAAGAUAGUACCACAAGAGGAAGAGACGGCUAACACUGUGCCAGCAGCCGCGGUAAUACAGAGGUCUCAAGCGUUGUUCGGAAUCACUGGGCGUAAAGCGUGCGGAGGCU